AACGAACGCUGGCGGCAGGCUUAACACAUGCAAGUCGAACGGAUGUAGCAAUACAUCAGUGGCAGACGGGUGAGUAACACGUGGGAACCUUCCUCGUUGUACGGGACAACUCAGGGAAACUUGAGCUAAUACCGUAUACGUCCGAGAGGAGAAAGAUUUAUCGCAAUGAGACGGGCCCGCGUCGGAUUAGCUAGUUGGUGGGUAACGGCCUACCAAGGCGACGAUCCGUAGCUGANCUGAGAGGAUGAUCAGCCACACUGGGACUGAGACACGGCCCAGACUCCUACGGGAGGCAGCAGUGGGGAAUCUUGGACAAUGGGCGCAAGCCUGAUCCAGCCACGCCGCGUGAGUGAAGAAGGCCUUAGGGUUGUAAAGCUCUUUUGCCAGGGACGAUAAU
Molecule: ribosomal RNA, 397 nt
Filed under: uncultured bacterium
Lineage: Bacteria
Description: bacterial SSU rRNA
Rfam family: Bacterial small subunit ribosomal RNA
Source: RNAcentral